RNAcentral lists this ribosomal RNA (252 nucleotides) under Oenococcus oeni. RNAcentral describes it as "partial 16S ribosomal RNA". It matches the Rfam family "Bacterial small subunit ribosomal RNA", at positions 1 to 226 of the family's 1533-position model. The record is from RNAcentral. Lineage: Bacteria; Bacillati; Bacillota; Bacilli; Lactobacillales; Lactobacillaceae.
UUUAAAUUGAGAGUUUGAUCCUGGCUCAGGAUGAACGCUGGUGGCGUGCCUAAUACAUGCAAGUCGUACGCUAGCCGCUGAAUUGAUCCUUCGGGUGAAGUGAGGCAAUGACUAGAGUGGCGAACUGGUGAGUAACACGUAAGAAACCUGCCCUUUAGUGGGGGAUAACAUUUGGAAACAGAUGCUAAUACCGCGUAACAACAAAUCACACAUGUGAUCUGUUUGAAAGGUCCUUUUGGAUCGCUAGAGGAU